GCUGAGAUAGCUCAGAGGUAGAGCAAAGGAUUGAAAAUCCUUGGGUCGUCCGUUCAAUCCGGACUCUUGGCA
Monoraphidium neglectum is the source of this 72-nucleotide transfer RNA. It matches the Rfam family "tRNA". Rfam says of the family: Transfer RNA (tRNA) molecules are approximately 80 nucleotides in length. Their secondary structure includes four short double-helical elements and three loops (D, anti-codon, and T loops). The record is from Rfam. NCBI's taxonomy places the organism in Eukaryota, Viridiplantae, Chlorophyta, Chlorophyceae, Sphaeropleales, Selenastraceae.